CACAUGCAAGUCGAACGAAGGCUUCGGCCUUAGUGGCGCACGGGUGCGUAACGCGUGAGAAUCUGCCCUCAGGUUCGGAAUAACAGCGAGAAAUUGCUGCUAAUACCGGAUGAUAUCGCGAGAUCAAAGAUUUAUCGCCUGAGGAUGAGCCCGCGUAGGAUUAGCUAGUUGGUGUGGUAAAGGCGCACCAAGGCGACGAUCCUUAGCUGGUCUGAGAGGAUGAUCAGCCACACUGGGACUGAGACACGGCCCAGACUCCUACGGGAGGCAGCAGUGGGGAAUAUUGGACAAUGGGCGAAAGCCCGAUCCAGCAAUGCCGCGUGAGUGAUGAAGGCCUUAGGGUUGUAAAGCUCUUUUACCCGGGAUGAUAAUGACAGUACCGGGAGAAUAAGCUCCGGCUAACUCCGUGCCAGCAGCCGCGGUAAUACGGAGGGAGCUAGCGUUAUUCGGAAUUACUGGGCGUAAAGCGCACGUAGGCGGCUUUGUAAGUUAGAGGUGAAAGCCUGGAGCUCAACUCC
Molecule: ribosomal RNA, 518 nt
Filed under: uncultured Sphingomonas sp.
Lineage: Bacteria; Pseudomonadati; Pseudomonadota; Alphaproteobacteria; Sphingomonadales; Sphingomonadaceae
Description: bacterial SSU rRNA
Rfam family: Bacterial small subunit ribosomal RNA
Source: RNAcentral